AGAAUCAACGCUGGCGGCGUGCCUAACACAUGCAAGUCGAACGAGAAAGUGGAGCAAUCCAUGAGUAAAGUGGCGCACGGGUGAGUAACACGUGACUAACCUACCCUUGAGUGGGGGAUAACCUAGGGAAACCUGGGCUAAUACCGCAUAAUACCUUCGGGUCAAAGGAGCAAUUCGCUUAAGGAGGGGGUCGCGGCCGAUUAGUUAGUUGGCGGGGUAAUGGCCCACCAAGACUGUGAUCGGUAUCCGGCCUGAGAGGGCGCACGGACACACUGGAACUGAAACACGGUCCAGACUCCUACGGGAGGCAGCAGUGGGGAAUUUUGCGCAAUGGGGGAACCCUGACGCAGCAACGCCGCGUGGAGGAUGAAGCCCCUUGGGGCGUAACUCCUUUCGAUCGGGACGAUAAUGACGGUACCGGAAGAAGAAGCCCGGCUAACUUCGCGCCAGCAGCCGC
Molecule: ribosomal RNA, 457 nt
Filed under: uncultured bacterium
Lineage: Bacteria
Description: SSU rRNA
Rfam family: Bacterial small subunit ribosomal RNA
Source: RNAcentral